This 305-nucleotide ribosomal RNA is filed under the name uncultured bacterium. RNAcentral's name for it is "bacterial SSU rRNA". It matches the Rfam family "Bacterial small subunit ribosomal RNA", at positions 337 to 635 of the family's 1533-position model. The record is from RNAcentral.
UCCUACGGGGCGCAGCAGUAGGGAAUUUUCGUCAAUGGGCGCAAGCCUGAACGAGCGAUGCCGCGUGAGUGAAGAAGGCCUUCGGGUCGUAAAGCUCUGUUGCGGGGGAAAAAAGGCAGCAUCAGGAAAUGGGUGCUGACUGAUGGUGCCCCGCCAGAAAGUCACGGCUAACUACGUGCCAGCAGCCGCGGUAAUACGGAGGAUGCGAGCGUUAUCCGGAUUUAUUGGGUUUAAAGGGUGCGUAGGCGGUGUUUUAAGUUAGUGGUUAAAGGUCGGGGCGUCAACUUGAUUUGCCAUUAAUACUG